Molecule: ribosomal RNA, 462 nt
Filed under: uncultured bacterium
Lineage: Bacteria
Description: bacterial SSU rRNA
Rfam family: Bacterial small subunit ribosomal RNA
Source: RNAcentral
GAUGAACGCUAGCGGCAGGCUUAAUACAUGCAAGUCGAGGGGCAGCAGGGGUAGCAAUACUCGCUGGCGACCGGCAAACGGGUGCGGAACACGUACAGAACCUUCCUUUAAGUGGGGAAUAGCCCAGAGAAAUUUGGAUUAAUACCCCGUAACAUUAUGGAGUGGCAUCACUUUAUAAUUAUAGAUUCAUCGCUUAAAGAUGGCUGUGCGGCUGAUUAGGUAGUUGGCGGGGUAACGGCCCACCAAGCCUGCGAUCAGUAACUGGUGUGAGAGCACGACCAGUCACACGGGCACUGAGACACGGGCCCGACUCCUACGGGAGGCAGCAGUAAGGAAUAUUGGUCAAUGGACGCAAGUCUGAACCAGCCAUGCCGCGUGGAGGAUGAAGGUCCUCUGGAUUGUAAACUUCUUUAUCUGGGAAGAACCCAUGUUUUCUAAUGUGGUUGACGGUACCAGAUGAAU